This 847-nucleotide long non-coding RNA is filed under the name Homo sapiens (human). Its description in RNAcentral is "HSALNT0408953". The record is from RNAcentral. Lineage: Eukaryota; Metazoa; Chordata; Mammalia; Primates; Hominidae.
GCACAUAUCCUUCCUGCCAUCACGUGAAGAAGGACACGUUUCGUUCCCCUCCUUCCAUGAUUGUGAGGUGUCAGAUCCCCGGCGAUGGAAAGCAGUCAACUCAUGGGUAGUAAAAAGAAUGUAUUGACAACACUAUAGGUUUGAAAAGGAAAGUUUUAUUAGAUGGAAAGAACAGUGCAGAAGACCGCAGCAGAGGACCUCAGCAAGAGAGAACUAAUUUGUCAGUUUCAAAUACUCAUGUAUCUGAUUGUCAAUGCUGGAGAGCUGGGGCCAGGGCAGUAGUUGAUGAAUAUCACCUGACUGUCUCCUGCAGAAAAAGCAUUCCCAGAAGCACGGAGAAGUGAGGAGAAAAGGCAAUGCACCUGGAGCUGGAGACCAAGGCCCUGUUCUUACUGAUGGCCCUUGGAGCAGAUAUUUGAAUUGGAGAGAUAAAACCGUGGUUUUUGGGGUGUUAAUUUUGGUGGCUGAUGCAUUCUGUGAUUGAUUUGGCUAUUACAACUGGUAUUGAUUUUAAACACAUUAAUUGCAAAAUCUCAAUUGUGAUUUGAUUUCUGUAUUUACAAUACUAAAAACGAGGCUUUCGCCAGGAGAAGACAAUUGGCAGUACUCAGUUGGAAGUGCUUAAUUGUUAAUAUAUAUCAGCCGUGGUUCUUCAGCGUCGUCAGUGUUGCUCAGUCUUGCUCUUUGUGGCGACUACUGAAUGCUUGAAAAAUUCUCUCCUAUACUCCCACUCUGCACUGUAGAAGAGAAAGAGAGGAGAGUGGAAGAAAAAAGAGAGGGAGAGGAGAAAGAAAGAGAGGAGAGAGAAACAUGGGCAUGGAUGAUACAUAAGGUAGUUGUAAACUGU